Sciurus carolinensis (gray squirrel) is the source of this 590-nucleotide long non-coding RNA. RefSeq lists it as uncharacterized. The transcript is spliced from 3 exons. The record is from RefSeq and is a predicted model, not a curated record. Lineage: Eukaryota; Metazoa; Chordata; Mammalia; Rodentia; Sciuridae.
UCCUCACUCCCAGCACGAAGCCAAAGCAGCCCUGAGGCCACAUUCCCUACAAACUGGGGUCAGGAAUCGAGGUGCCUUCCCCAGCAUGGGAAACUCAAGCAAAUUGCAAAAGGAGUCAUUUAAGUAUGGUUAAGAUGUUUGUGUGGGAAAUCAAAUGUUCUGUUCCUAUCAAGCCACCGAUGUCCCCAGACUGGACUGGAAGAAUUGCUUUAACAUUUUCCACGAGACCUAGAAGCUGGUUUGAACUGUCUGCAUUUCCGAAGUCCUAUGGAGUCUCAGCUGGGCAUGGCUACUAAUAAACCAUCUGGAUGUCCCGGAACUUAGAAUCAGUGGUGAAGGAGCCUCCGUAGACCUCCACUGCCCACAGCGGUAAAUCAGCCAUUGUAGAAGAUAACCUCCCCUUCCCCUGUCCACUGUCCUGGAUUCUGAACAAUAGAGACCAGUGUGGAACACCAACAAGCAACAAAACUGCCUUCUCCAGUGGUCUAGUAGACUGCGGACAGUGACAAAUUCCUUCUCAUGUGCCACAAAUUCAUUCCACUUUUCUGUGUCACUCCUUCUCUUAUAACAAGAAUGGCUUUGCUGAAUGA